Long non-coding RNA from Ailuropoda melanoleuca (giant panda), 1777 nucleotides. RefSeq lists it as uncharacterized. The transcript is spliced from 3 exons. The record is from RefSeq and is a predicted model, not a curated record. Lineage: Eukaryota; Metazoa; Chordata; Mammalia; Carnivora; Ursidae.
GGUCAAAGAAGCAUUCUUUUUUCUUUAUAAAGAUUCUCUACACCGAGCAGGGGGCUUGAACUCCCAGCCCUGAGGUCGAGGCUCGUGUCAGCCCGACGCCCCCAGAGGUGUGUUAUCUGCCUCAAGACCCCCCCAGGCAUGCCUUACCGAGGAGCUGACAGGCUUGUCAUUCUGAACCCCACUCCCGCCUAAGGAGAAAGAUGAUUCCAGCGGAUGGGGAGGGAAACUCCCUCGUGGUGUCGCCAGAUAAAGUACAGAGCCGACGCUCAGUUAAACCUGAAUUUCAGAAAAUCCUGUUAGCGUGUCCUGAAUAAUUGCAUUGCUCAUUCUCUGAAAUCCAGAUUUAACUGGGUGUCCCAUACUGUUAAUUUGCCGAAUCUGGCAGCCCUGCUUGGCCAAUGCGGGUCACUGAGAACCGUCCGACUGGACAAGACAUUUGUCCUGAGAGGAGCAAAGAGGAGUUUGGGCGGAGGCGGGGAGGCCGCGGGAGGCCUUUCUGCGUCAGACUCCGUCCCGCAGACGACGGAAGCAGACGGAAGAUUCGGUCUGCACCAGUGGGCUGCGUUUUCUACCAUUUGCCUUGAUGCUCUCUGACAUAAGGCUGUGACCAUUCACGUUCCUACCAGCAAUGUAUACAGUGUCUCAUUUUUCCACAUCUUUAUCAGAUUUGGAAAUUUAAAAAAAAAAUGCCAAUCUGAGCCAGCGUCCACCGCAGCCGGGGGCAGCCCUCUGCCCAGUCUCAGCCAGUCAGCUAUCCCACCAGCACAGACAUUCUGCAGGACCCCGUCACCACCGCCUGUGGGCUCCAGUGUCCCUCAGAUGCGUCCCUCCGAUGCGUCCCUCCGAGGGGGAAGCAUCCAACCAUACUCUUGGGUGUCCUUGGGCAACGGCUCUGUGGAGAGGAAGACAUGGGGCCCACCUGGCUGCUGGUGAAUCUGCAGGACACCGUCCGAGCCCUGGAGCCCUUGGACAUGCAGCCAGAAAGGGAGAGGCUCUGUGAGCACAAUGCAGAGCUCCUCUCCGCUGUGAGCUGAGUCCAAGGACCAGAGAUUCCACCACACGAAUGUCACAGAAGCUGCUGUUGUUACCAGGGAAGCACGUGAGUCCCUUCUCUGACCCCCCACCCGACCAGGAGCUCCGGGAGGCCCUGGGAACUGUCACCUCCUGGAUCUGGCCCCGCAUCCCAUUGCCCCCGUCCUUGCCCACGUGUAGGCAGUUCACCGGGGGCUCAAACAACUGAUGGCUGUUGAAAUCAAGGCAUCAUGGAGAAUGGGAAGAAUGUGGACUUUGAGCCGGAAGGUUUGGGCUCCAGUUCAGACUCCUGAGUUUCCUGCGUGACGUUCGAGGACUUACUUUGCCUCUCUGCGGCUCACGAGCCUCACCCGUCACAGACGGCAGACAGAAUGUCCCUCGCAGAGCUGCUGGCGAGAUCAACGAGGGCAAGUCUGUGGUAGCUCUGGGAUCCUCCCAAAGCACCCCCAAUAUUGGCCAUAACAUAUUAGUGAUAAUUUACAUACCCCCCUUGCAGGUCACUCGGCUCCCCAGCACACCCAGCCCCAGCUUGAGCAACAAAGGGGUCAUUACACACGGACUCCCCUGGGUGAGCCUGACCGCCAUCCUGAGGGAGGGCUCCAGGCACAGCUUCCCAAACUCUCCCCACGGGGGCAGUUUCCUUUGGAUUGAGGUCUUUUUCUUUUUUAAGGUUUAUUUAUUUAUUUGAGAGAGAGCAGGAGAGCAGGGGGAGGAGCAGAGGGAGAGGGAGAGAGAAUCUCCAGCA